This 460-nucleotide ribosomal RNA is filed under the name uncultured bacterium. RNAcentral's name for it is "partial 16S ribosomal RNA". It matches the Rfam family "Bacterial small subunit ribosomal RNA", at positions 338 to 795 of the family's 1533-position model. The record is from RNAcentral.
CCUACGGGAGGCAGCAGUGAGGAAUAUUGGUCAAUGGACGAGAGUCUGAACUAGCCAAGUAGCGUGAAGGAUGACUGCCCUAUGGGUUGUAAACUUCUUUUAUAUGGGAAUAAAACGUUCCACGUGUGGGAUUUUGUAUGUACCAUAUGAAUAAGGAUCGGCUAACUCCGUGCCAGCAGCCGCGGUAAUACGGAGGAUCCGAGCGUUAUCCGGAUUUAUUGGGUUUAAAGGGAGCGUAGGUGGAUUGUUAAGUCAGUUGUGAAAGUUUGCGGCUCAACCGUAAAAUUGCAGUUGAAACUGGCAGUCUUGAGUACAGUAGAGGUGGGCGGAAUUCGUGGUGUAGCGGUGAAAUGCUUAGAUAUCACGAAGAACUCCGAUUGCGAAGGCAGUUCACUGGACUGCAACUGACACUGAGGCUCGAAAGUGUGGGUAUCAAACAGGAUUAGAUACCCUAGUAGUC